This is a long non-coding RNA of Rosa rugosa (rugosa rose), 1647 nucleotides long. RefSeq lists it as uncharacterized. Lineage: Eukaryota; Viridiplantae; Streptophyta; Magnoliopsida; Rosales; Rosaceae. The transcript is spliced from 5 exons. The record is from RefSeq and is a predicted model, not a curated record.
UAUCAAACUCGGAUCUAAAGCUUUCCCAGCUUCUUCUUACACAACACUACCUUCUCUCUUCCAAAUUUAAUCCAAGCUUCGUGCCACCAAAUCGAAGUUCUCACCCAAAUCAAAAAUCCGGCUGAGUCAAAACCUAACCCUCGGAUUCAUACCCCUCUUCGAGAAAGAAAGGGAACCUCAUUCUUCAUCUGAUCCAGACUUUGUUUCAAAACCUAACCCUCCGAUUCAUACCCCUUUUCGCGAAAUCAUCCAAACCUUAUUACUCAUUUCAUGGGUGUCAAUCAGUAGUUCUUUAUCUAUGCUGGGAGACUCAGGUAUGAAUGGAAGUUUUGCAACUCGUUUUUCUAGAUCUGCUGACCGUACCUUUACAAACCAGUUAGCGGAUUAGGAAUUCGUUGUUACUCAGCAUUCAGCUGUACCACAGGGGAUUUUGGUGAGCUUGUCUUUCUUUGUUUUGUAGAAAUUAAGAGACUACUUUGGAAAAGAAUUUAAACUAUUUUCUGUGAAUAACUGAUUAUGUUUAGAAAUUGUGGUUGCUUGUGUUAUAUCGGUCAUUAUAGAGAUUCCACUACUGCUGACUCUCUGGAUUAUCUACCUCCACUUUGAGUUCCGGAGACUUCAGCUUCAUAUGGGCUCAAUAUCUGUGAUGGAAACAUUCCUUGUUUGCCAAUGUUGAGCUCUUCCUUAUUUUUUUUCUCUCUUUUUUUUUUCUUUUCUUUUCUCUUCUUCUUUCAUUCAUUUGUAAGCAUAAAUUGGCCUGAUACUAAUUAGCAAUCUAUUCUUGUUUUAUAUAUACAUGAUAUGUUUGUUUAGGGAAAGCAUUCGAGUUGUGUGAGGAUCCAUGAUCAAAUUAUGUUCUCAAAUUACCUCCUUGAUUACUAUUUAGGAAUUCAGAAUUUUGUCUAUGCCCAAAAGUUAAUUUCUUGUGGAAAGGCAAUUCCAUUUGUAUCGUUACAUUUUGUGCUUUUAAAAUUUAGUAUUGAACAUCAACAAGAGGAAUAGAUGCUGGUUGAUUCACUUUCGAAAGCAGAAGGAGCCACUUGUGACAUGCUCAUUGUAAGCCUUAAAAUUUUAUCUAUCAAAUGAUAGAAGACUAUGUCAUUAAUGAUCUGCAAUAUGAGUUGCUUAGACUUUAUCUGUCAAAUGAUACAAGACUCUUUGGUGAUUUGUAAUAUGAGUUAUGCACUUUUUAAGUGUAAUCAGUUCGAUGCAUAUUGUUUUUGGCUGCAUGAGUCAUUUGUUUUUAGCGAGCUAAGAAGUGGGUUUUUGAAUUGCAAAGACAAGCAAAUCCAACUUUAAUAAUGGUUUUGGCUGGAAACAAGGCUGACUUGGAAGAGAAGAGAAAAGUAGGGACUGAGAAAAGUAGUCCUUACUUAGGAAGCAUAGAUCUAUCAGGGCAGAAAUGGUUAGGACGUAGAGACGAUACGUAGUCUGCAGAAGGCAAGCAGAAAACAAGUAGUGAAGUCUUUGACCAUUGCGCAAUAGAUACACUGCUGAUUUCUCAUGGGACAAGUACACUCUUUAUGAAGGACCUUUUGAGGAGGUUGGAGCAACGUGCUGAAACCUUUAUCAAUGGGGUAGAUUAGUUUAUGCUGCUGUUAACAAACUGUAUUUCAUUGUUUGAGUAUGACUUUCAUCAUUGGGACA